Non-coding RNA from Seriola aureovittata, 581 nucleotides. The record is from the annotation of a RefSeq genome assembly. Lineage: Eukaryota; Metazoa; Chordata; Actinopteri; Carangiformes; Carangidae.
AUGUCUCACUUUGUAUCACUGUGGUACACGUUCGGUGCAGGAACCAGACUGGAGUUUGGAAGUGACGCCCGUCCCACCCUGACGGUGCUGCCCCCCUCCAGUGAGGAGCUGCAGCAGGAGAAGGUCACAGUCCUGUGCCUGGCCAACAAGGGCUUCCCCUCAGACUGGAGUCUGGCCUGGAAGGUGGAGGGCAGCAGCAGCAGCAGCAGCUGGGAGGAGAGCAGGAGCCCCGGGGUGCUGGAGAAGGACGGCCUCUACAGCUGGAGCAGCACCCUGAGGCUCCCUGCAGACCAGUGGAGCAAGUUGGGCUCUGUGACCUGUGAGGCCACCCAGGGCUCCCAGACUCCGCUCUCAGAGACACUGAGGAGAGACCAGUGUUCCCAGUCCUGACCUGACUCACUGGGACUCUGCUAAUGGUUUUACUCUGCUCCUGCUCUCUCUCUGCUCUCUGUAACACUGUCUCUCUCUCUCUCUUUCUCUCUCUCUCUUUCUCAUGUUCUGUCUUUAUCUCUGAUAUGUUUGCUAGUUUUCUCUAAUGUUUGUAAUUUCACUAUUUUCAGAAAAUAAAGAUCUGUUCAUCA